AACGUAGGAGCCUAGCGUUAUCCGAAUUCACUGGGCGUAAAGCGCGUGCAGGCGGUUCGGUAAGUUGGAUGUGAAAUCUCCUGGCUCAACUGGGAGAGGACGUUCAAGACUGUCGGACUAGAGGACGGUAGAGGAAGGUAGAAUUCCCGGCGUAGUGGUGAAAUGCGUAGAUAUCGGGAGGAAUACCAGUGGCGAAGGCGGCCUUCUGGGCCGUUCCUGACGCUCAGACGCGAAAGCUAGGGGAGCAAACGGG
RNAcentral lists this ribosomal RNA (253 nucleotides) under uncultured bacterium. RNAcentral's name for it is "partial 16S ribosomal RNA". It matches the Rfam family "Bacterial small subunit ribosomal RNA", at positions 524 to 776 of the family's 1533-position model. The record is from RNAcentral.